GGGGAAUUGUUCGCAAUGGGCGCAAGCCUGACGACGCAACGCCGCGUGGAGGAUGAAGAUCUUCGGGUCGUAAACUCCUGUCGAGCGGGAAGAACACUUUCCGGGCAAAUAUCCCGGAAGGCUGACGGUACCGCUAAAGGAAGCCCCGGCUAACUCCGUGCCAGCAGCCGCGGUAAUACGGAGGGGGCGAGCGUUAUUCGGAAUUAUUGGGCGUAAAGGGCGCGUAGGCGGCCCGGUAAGUCAAAGGUGAAAUCCCUCGGCUCAACUGAGGAACUGCCUUUGAAACUGUCGGGCUUGAGGCCGGGAGGGGGUAGCGGAAUUCCCAGUGUAGCGGUGAAAUGCGUAGAUAUUGGGAGGAACACCGGUGGCGAAGGCGGCUACCUGGACCGGUUCUGACGCUGAUGCGCGAAAGCGUGGGUAGCAAA
Molecule: ribosomal RNA, 425 nt
Filed under: uncultured bacterium
Lineage: Bacteria
Description: bacterial SSU rRNA
Rfam family: Bacterial small subunit ribosomal RNA
Source: RNAcentral